This 1374-nucleotide long non-coding RNA is filed under the name Homo sapiens (human). RNAcentral's name for it is "HSALNT0145810". Lineage: Eukaryota; Metazoa; Chordata; Mammalia; Primates; Hominidae. The record is from RNAcentral.
GGGAUAUGUUUUCCAUCCUCUUACCUAUUUAAUCAACAAAGGUCUUAAUGGAGAUGCAGUGGGCAGCUGGAUUCUUAAAAUGCCAGCUCCUUCCCAACAUCCUCUAAAUCAGACAUUUCUGUCUAAGCAUGCACCUGCAAAAAUGAUAUGUUGUUUUCCAGCUUCACUGCAAGAUCCUUGCCAGAAUUCAGGAUAGGUAUCUCAAGGAUAUCAUUACAAGUUCCAAAUAAUGCCAUCUUUCAUGCUUGAAAAGCCAUGACUGUCUGGUCCCUGCAGGGAGUAGCUGGUGCCUUCAGUGGGGAGGGGUUCGAGCGUGAGCAGCUCAGGAACGUUGUGGUCUACGGUUCAGCCACAUCCUUUGUGGUAAGAAACUGCAACAAAAUGUACUUUAUAUUUUUAUAAUCAGCUGGCUUUUAAAUUACAGCCAUGCUGAAUAAGAGCAGAGAAAACGUAUGAUUAGUAAUUUCCUUAUGCAGAAAGUAGAACAGUUUCUGGCUAAGGCCUAGGGCUUUAAAAAAAAGGUGCUUUUAGUAAAAAAAAGAAAAUGGAAAAUUCUUUAUUCCAAAGCCAAAGCAAUGGUUCAUGGCCUCCUUCUGAGCAGUAAUAGUCCAACUCCACGAGGAAGUGGAAAUGGAAAAGAUUAGCUUGGGAAAAUAUUCUAAGGGCUGUCUGCCUGCCCAGCCACUGUCACCUAUAUACUGAGCCACCUUCUCUGGUCCUUACAAGCACAGAAAAAUGGAUCUGUGGCAGUCAUGGUUCCUGGACUUCUAGAAAUGACUAUAUUCCAGGAGAUGCAGAAAUGCUACUGAACAUGGAUGUGCAGCACCACAGAAAACCUAUGUGGGAUCCUGAUCACCAGUGGAAGCCCGGCUCCUUAGAGAGCUAAGAUGGAACAAAGAAAAUUCCCAGGCCCGGGAACCACCAGAGGUACUACCUUAUUUGCUCAAAAGGUCACACUGAUUCAUGAGAAUUGGAGAGCCAGAAACGGAAGCCAGGCAGUGUGGUCCUAAGCUGAGGAUGAUGUUAUACACUGUGAGAGGCAGUGCACAUGGUCACAAGCAAAAUCAGGUUGGUAAGGCUCACAGGGAAUUACUGUAAGCCAUAAAAUCAUCCAGGGUGGCUUUCUGAUUAUUAGCUUCAAUUUCAAGAAGGAAGAGUGAGCAGGAAUCCCAAUGAAUACGAGAAAGAAUAAGACAGACAAAAAUGUAAGCGCCUAUCGGGCCAGGUGUGGUGGCUCAUGUCUGUAAUCCCAGCACUUUGGGAGGCCGAGGUGGGUAGAUCACCUGAGGUCAGGAGUUCAAGAUCAGCCUGACCAAUGUGGUGAAACCCUAUCUCUACUAAAAUACAAAAGUGGCUGGGCAUAGUGGUGGGCAC